ACGUAGGUGGCGAGCGUUGUCCGGAUUUACUGGGCGUAAAGAGCGCGCAGGCGGUCGGCCAAGUCGAGUGUGAAAGCCCCCGGCUCAACUGGGGAGGGUCACUUGAUACUGGUCGACUCGAAGGCGGGAGAGGGAAGUGGAAUUCCCGGUGUAGUGGUGAAAUGCGUAGAUAUCUGGAGGAACAUCAGUGGCGAAGGCGACACCCUGGACUCAUACUGACACUGAGGUGCGAAAGCGUGGGGAGCAAACAGGA
RNAcentral lists this ribosomal RNA (253 nucleotides) under uncultured prokaryote. Its description in RNAcentral is "partial 16S ribosomal RNA". It matches the Rfam family "Bacterial small subunit ribosomal RNA", at positions 525 to 777 of the family's 1533-position model. The record is from RNAcentral.